CUGCUUUUCAAAUGCCGCUACAUGGUUAGAGUAUGGAACAUGAUUAAAGCGUGGCUUGGCCUUCAUGACAUUUACUCGCAGAACUGGGCCAUGGUUGACACGGUGAAGAAUUGGUGGAGUGCCACCGCUUCCAACACGACGCAAUCUCGACGACCGCUUACCUGCCUUAUGCUGCUCGUCUCAGGGGAAAUUUGGAAAGAGCGGAAUGCUAGGGUAUUUCGUAAUGUCGCGGUGCCUGUUGGGGUUUUAGUAGCUAGAAUCAAAGACGAGACGGCGCUAUGGUGUCUGGCCGGUGCGAAACAUUUGUGUAAUAUCAUGCCGCAAGAGUGA
This 330-nucleotide ribosomal RNA is filed under the name Triticum aestivum (bread wheat). Its description in RNAcentral is "partial small subunit ribosomal RNA". Lineage: Eukaryota; Viridiplantae; Streptophyta; Magnoliopsida; Poales; Poaceae. The record is from RNAcentral.